RNAcentral lists this ribosomal RNA (460 nucleotides) under uncultured bacterium. RNAcentral's name for it is "partial 16S ribosomal RNA". It matches the Rfam family "Bacterial small subunit ribosomal RNA", at positions 338 to 795 of the family's 1533-position model. The record is from RNAcentral.
CCUACGGGAGGCAGCAGUGAGGAAUAUUGGUCAAUGGACGAGAGCCUGAACCAGCCAAGUAGCGUGAAGGAUGACUGCCCUAUGGGUUGUAAACUUCUUUUAUAUGGGAAUAAAAUGUUCCACGUGUGGGAUUUUGUAUGUACCAUAUGAAUAAGGAUCGGCUAACUCCGUGCCAGCAGCCGCGGUAAUACGGAGGAUCCGAGCGUUAUCCGGAUUUAUUGGGUUUAAAGGGAGCGUAGGUGGAUUGUUAAGUCAGUUGUGAAAGUUUGCGGCUCAACCGUAAAAUUGCAGUUGAAACUGGCAGUCUUGAGUACAGUAGAGGUGGGCGGAAUUCGUGGUGUAGCGGUGAAAUGCUUAGAUAUCACGAAGAACUCCGAUUGCGAAGGCAGCUCACUGGGCUGCAACUGACACUGAGGCGCGAAAGUGUGGGUAUCAAACAGGAUUAGAUACCCCUGUAGUC